CUGAAUGGCACAUUCCAUUGAGUGUGGCCAAACCAGCAACACACAGCAGCUUGAGGCCCCAUGUACAGGAGGAAAGAAGCCUGGAAGACUAUGAUUAUAAAACGACAGCGUUUUGCAUUGUCUUGGGUUGGUUGAGGUGUGCAUGAUAGACCGUUAUUUCAGGUCAAGGAUCCCAGAAACCACCCCAUGAUAUUCACCACAAGAUGGAGGUUUUCCAUUUAUAGCCAAACUCACACCACCACCCAAUUUCUCAGCCCUCUUUCCCUCCCUCCUCACUCAACCAUGCACAAAACAAAGGCACAAAGCAGAGGUAGAGAGAGAUAGAGAUAGAGAAAGAGGUCAUGAUCUCGGUUCGGUUUUCCCCACCAAGGUCAUGAUCUUCUAUCUCAUCACCCCUUGAUUUUUCACAAGCAUAGGAGUAUAUACGGAUAAGGUUAAAUUUUUUUCUAUUCCAUUUUCUGGGUUAUUGGGAAAAUUAUGGCCUGGCGAUCAUUCAAGCGGAUUGUGGAGCAGGAGCUUGGAUACUUGCCCCAGUUUGUGAUCUAUGCAAUCCUGGAAUGGGUGGUGAUAAUUUUGCUUUUUCUUGAUGGGUUUAUUGGAUUUGUUGCCAAUGAGUUUGCAAAGUUUUUUGAAUUGAAGACACCAUGUUUGCUUUGCACUAGGAUUGAUCAUGUUCUCGUUCAUCGGAAUCCCAGCUUUUACUAUAACGAUUCCAUAUGUGAAGAUCACAAGAAGGAUGUUUCCUCUCUUGCCUACUGUCACGCUCACAGGAAGUUAUCUGAUAUCCGGAUGAUGUGUGAGGGAUGCCUCAUUUCUUUUGCCACUGAGAGAGGAGAUGAUUGUGAGACACACAGAUCUUUGGUUGGGAUUUUGCAUAACACUGUUGAGCCCUUUGUUGAUAAUGACCACAAAAUGCAAGUGAAAUUGCCUGUGGGACAAGUUGACAAGAGUGGUGUUCACCAGUGUUCUUGCUGCGGGGGGCCUUUGAAGAUGAGAGCCUCCAUGACCAAGGGUCAUGUUCCCCGCUCUGCAAGCCAUGGGAACCUUCUUUCACAAGCUCCUACACCUUCUCCUCGAGCUCCAUUUUUUGCAACGAGAAAUGAGGAUUUUCGUCACUUGGAAUUGCCUCAAAUUCGGCACAUGGAUCUCAAAUUCUCGUCGGAUAAUGAAUCAGAGCUUCUAGAGGAUGAGUAUAGCUCAUAUGCAUCAAUCCAAGGUAGGGAAGAUGUUAAAGCUUGUACUGUGCCCUUGCUAACAGAAUCUGAGGAUUCAAAUGAAGAAAGAACCCCUAUGGGGUUUUCUAGAGGAAAUAGGUUUUUUGGAAUCUCUCUGACAGAUUCAGCCACAUCCAGUCCUAGGUGGGCUACCAGGUUGCCAAGGAAACCGGUGCUUGAGAAGGCGGAGUUUGUCUUGGAGCCUCUUGAGGGAAAUGCUGCAAAUGAAGCAGAUUCUGAUUCCACCAUGCAACGUUUGAAGAGGCAAGCACGUCUGGAUCGCAAGUCAUUAAUAGCUUUGUACAUGGAACUGGAUGAAGAAAGAAGCGCUUCUGCUAUUGCAGCAAAUAAUGCAAUGGCCAUGAUCACAAGGUUGCAAGCAGAGAAAGCAUCAGUUCAGAUGGAAGCCUUACAGUAUCAGAGGAUGAUGGAGGAGCAGGCUGAAUAUGACCAAGAAGAUUUGCAAGCAAUGAGGGAUUUGCUUGGCAAGAGAGAGGACGAAAUCAAAGCUUUAGAGGCUGAACUUGAGAUGUAUCAACCGAAAAAUGAAAGCAGCAAGAAAUUCACUGUUGAGGGAUGUGAUUCAAUUGAAAUACAGGGUGAUGAAGAUGACCAACAGUUGAAAUCUGAGUCCUUAAGUGAAAAAUCUGAAUGCAGCAGCCCUGCUUUUUGCUUCAAUGAAGUGGAGAAUAAUGGAGAACACCAGCAUAAAUAUGAUCAAACGAGGUCAUUGCAAGAAGAGAAUGGAGGGGAGACCAUUGAAAAAUCAUCAGGGGAUUUUGAGGGCGAGAGAUCCAAUCUUCUAAAUCAGUUGAAAAAUAUGAAGAAGUUUCACUCAUCUGCACACAGUGGGAGGCAUUCCUUGCAGCUGAGCUUUGACAUGGUUAACGAUACAGAGGAAGGCACAGGUAACGACACAGGGGAUGCAUGCAAUGAUAUAAUAUCAAGAGAAGUGCCUCAUCUCCAUGAGAAAUUAAAAGCUCUUGAAGAAGAUGGUGGAUUCUUGAAUCAUGCUGCUCGGGCACUUGAGAAGGGAAGUGAAGGAAGAAACAUUUUGACACAGAUAGCUCACCAUCUGCAUAAGCUUCAAGACCUGGUGAAAAUUCCCUUGGAGGAUGAUUGCGAAUGAUUUUCACAAUAACCAUUUUGAUGAUGACCAUAAGCAUCCAAUGCUGCAAAUUGAGGAUGAUUUCAGAAAGAAAAAAUAGAACUUGGGAGCAGAACAAUACAAUGCUAAUUUAUCUGUGGCUGGCAAAAGUUGAUGAUAUAUGGUCCAUGUAACCACAACCAAUUGAUGUGCAGGCAAAGUAGCAUUAAGAUCGAGCAACCGGGUAUGUCCCCAGAAACAUUUUUCACCUGCAAACCAUCCAAACAUCUAAGUUUAGCAGUAACUGAUUGAUGAUAGACAUGGGGAUAGCGCUUCAAGGGCGCCAGCAGAUUGUUGCAAGGUCGGGGAAGGCAGAAAGGGAGGCACAUACAAGUGUACAACUUCAUAGCGAUUGGGGUAAAACCUCAGAACCUCAGAGAGUGAAUAUUAGUUGCUGCUUCUAUUGGAACUGUUGCUUCUUGUAUGAAUCCAAAUUUUGAGUUAUAUUAAUCAUUAAAAUUUCUCCCACAAGUUGAGACUA
RNA transcript from Vitis vinifera (wine grape), 2842 nucleotides. It is a transcript of the gene named probable myosin-binding protein 5, with no coding region annotated. The record is from RefSeq and is a predicted model, not a curated record. The transcript has 5 exons. Lineage: Eukaryota; Viridiplantae; Streptophyta; Magnoliopsida; Vitales; Vitaceae.